UUCACUUGUUUUAUGUUUAUCAGCUGAUUCCUGCCAUAACAACACGGGAUUUCGGAUCAACCGUACGCCCCUCCGUGUUCGUGCCGUGUCAGUGACGUUUACACGAAAUUGUGAAAUUUUAUUUACUUUAAAAAGAAAAUAUUAUUCAUAUCGAAAAGACAUGAAGAUCUCGACAUUUAAAUGAAAUUUGAGAUAAAGUCGAGAAGGCGGCUUUUGUAUAUUUCUAAAUUUUAUAUUUCGAAGUGUUCCCCGCCCGUUCUCUCAACGUAGCCUAUUUAGGUACAAAGUGAGGUUCAUCAUAACAGCAAAUUGUAUCUGCUUAUUUUUACUCCUUAUAAUGGAAGUUACAUCAAACUCACUGUCAACAGACAAAGAUGACUCCUCAGAUGAUUUCUUUUACAGACGGUAUGGUUCUGUGAGGCCAUGGAAUUAGAAGCAAGUUGUAUGUGCUUUCUAGUAAUGAUUACAUAGGUGUGAUUCUCUUGUGCCCAAGAACUCUAACAUCAUAUGGCAUUGUUUCCUGUGCAUGCUCAUUUCCUCUUGAGUGUGUGUACUGGAUUCAGUUCAAAUUUGGUCUUGAGUGUCAUUUUUGGACUUCUUUUUUUUUUUGUCAUAAUUUUUGUACUUUUACACAGACUCUGCAUUUUAUAAGUGUACAGAGCUUUAAAUGUACAAAAUCUGUGAUGUCUAAUCACAUUAUAUAUGGUUAUAUUGAUUUUGAUGGGUCACUGAUAUCUUUUGCAUGUGAAAAUUAGGAAUACUGUAUUUGGAUAUACAUAUUGAUUUUCCCAGAUCCUGUCUUUUUCCCUAGUAGAAUUUUACUCUAGCAGUCACCUCAGACUCUGGAAUCCUUAUUGUUUGUACUCUUAAUUAUGUGGAAUUUUGAAUGUGGACCUUAAGUUUGAUUUUUUGUGUUUUGUUGGUUAGGUAAAUGUGUAUCACAUUCUCCCAGCUGUACGAUAUCAGUAGUGGUAUCUACCUUUUGAGUGGUUGAGAUGUGAAUAUUUGAUAAGAAUUGUGGUGUAGUGAAGGUUUUGGAGAUGCCUGUAUAUGCAUCAUGAUGGAUUUCUGCUAAUUAUUAAAUCUCAUAGAUUAGGGUUGCAUUGAAAUGGUAAUGUAUUGAACUAAAAUUCAAAGUAAGUCCAUACAAAAUUCUGCUGUAAAUCCAAGGUUGUUUUGUUAUCAAGUCUGCCAUGAUAGCAAAGACCUCUUGAAUCGUGAUCGAUUAUCAUGCAAUUUUGAUUUUUUUUCAUUUUCUGCAACACUGGUCCCAUUCAGUUUGGAAAUCUCUUGGUGUGUGCAAAGGUGAACAAGAUGCUUUAUCAGACACUUUAAUUAUGCUCUUUUGCAAGAAAUAAGAUGGGAACCUCAGAGAAUUAAUCCAAUACAAAAAUACAGCCUUGAUCAAAGUUGCCAACUAAUUGUGUACAAAUGCAGAAGUGUACUACUUCUAGCCCAGUUUUUUCCUUACUGUAUUAUGCAAAAAUUGUAAGAUAUACUUUGCAACUUUCUGUCUUGUAUCUAGCCUAUGCCUAAAAGACAGCAGGAGUAGAUGGUUGAGGAAAAAAGAAUGAGUUAUCUUCAGAUGAAUAAAGUAUUUCUCUUUCAAAAGAGAAAUAUUUUCAAUAUUUGGGAAUUGGGAAGCAGAUGAGAUACAUACUUACUUGACUGUGAAGAGAAGGCAUCAUCAUUCCUAAUAAAUCUGAUCCAUACCAUGGUCUCUUCAGAUAUCUGCUGAAUUGUUCGUAGAAUAUACACCACCCUUAUUUUACUAUGCAUUAUUGUUCAUGAAGCACUUGGUUGUGAGAUAGAGCCAGUUUUGAAAGAAGAGGAAUCUCUCUCUCUCUCUCUCUCUCUCUCUCUCUCUCUCUCUCUCUCUCUCUCUCUCUCUCUCUCUCUCUCUCUCUCUC
Molecule: long non-coding RNA, 1910 nt
Organism: Macrobrachium nipponense
Lineage: Eukaryota; Metazoa; Arthropoda; Malacostraca; Decapoda; Palaemonidae
Exons: 2
Source: RefSeq, a predicted model, not a curated record